UACGAAGGGGGCUAGCGUUGUUCGGAAUUACUGGGCGUAAAGCGCACGUAGGCGGCAUUCCAAGUUGGGUGUGAAAGCCCGGGGCUCAACCCCGGAACUGCAUUCAAAACUGUGAGGCUAGAGAUCGGAAGAGGUAAGUGGAAUUCCCAGUGUAGAGGUGAAAUUCGUAGAUAUUGGGAAGAACACCGGUGGCGAAGGCGACUUACUGGUCCGAUACUGACGCUGAGGUACGAAAGCGUGGGGAGCAAACAGG
Molecule: ribosomal RNA, 253 nt
Filed under: uncultured bacterium
Lineage: Bacteria
Description: partial 16S ribosomal RNA
Rfam family: Bacterial small subunit ribosomal RNA
Source: RNAcentral